GUAAUUUGUAAAUAUUAAUUACAAUAAGGAUUAAUAUGAACUGGGUUUGUACGUAACUUCAGCUUUAGGACCCAGGAGGUCGCAUAUCUAGGAUGUAUUCGUCGAUUCGCAUGCUGCGAUUGGUGGUCCAGAUGCAACUCAUUUUGAGUGACAGAAAAACUGACCAAUCAUACUGUUCCUCUGAAUGGGUGGGUUCUCUUAUCACUAACUCUCAUAGAUAUGUAUUAUGUAUGUAUCUAUUAUGACAAAUUCUGCUCGCUCGCUCGCUUGGUUCGUGUUAUAAAAAUAAAUGUGACUUUACUGCGGUCUUUUUCGGUUUAUUUAGUUUUGUGUUAACUAUAUCCACAAAGUAUUCGAAUAAAUUGGUAAUGUAAAACUAUUCUUCGCUGUAAAUUAAUUGUGUGCUCAAUUGCGACGCCCUGUGUUGAAUUUUCCCGCGAGUACAGUAUCAUUACUGAGGGGAAAUAUAACAUUAUUCAUUUAAUUCCACAAAAGGCCUGAGGCAACGUGAAACAUUGCUGAGGGAGAACUUUAUUCACAACAAAAGGAUAAAGAUGAAGAGGCGGGACUUGAGCAGCUUGUGAUGGCUGUAAUUGUAAAGAAUGGAUCUUCUAGGAGUGGAAGCCCAAAGGAUGCUGGGAUUGUUAUUGAGGCCUUAAAGGUGUUCACAGGGCAUGCUUUAUCCUUGGAUCUAUGCAUUGAAUCUCCAGUAUCCCAGGCAUCUUUUCAGGUGUUUCAGAAACUUUUCUUGGAGCUGGAUUCUUCAAAGUUUAUGAACUGAUUACAGUACAGUAAGUCUAAACUGCUGUCUGAUUUUCUGGGUGUGAAUCAAUGUAACAGAACACAAACAUGGAACCUUUCAUCGGGAAAUGUGGACGGUUUUCUUUAAAGACUGUAAAAUACUUUUUGAAGUUUACACUGUUACAAAUACAUCAUUAAAAUGACCCACUGAGCAAAGCGUCUUAAAAAGACGUCAUUUCGACGUCCCAUGAGGAGCCAGAAUGAACGUUUUUAUGACGUCUUUUUUUGACCUGUUCUGAACAUCCAAUAUUGAUGUCAAGGGGACCUCCACACAAAGUAAAACUAUUUAAAAUGUGGCCAUUUUAGACAUUAUAUUUGUUUAUAUAAUCUUUAUAUAUGAAUAAAUGUAAAAAAAAAUAUUGCUUAUAGAUAAUUCCCAAAUAUACAAGUUCCACCUUAACUAUCUGCGUCUGCAAUCUUGCUCUCUCUCUCUCUCUCUCUCUCUCUC
This is a non-coding RNA of Misgurnus anguillicaudatus (oriental weatherfish), 1249 nucleotides long. The record is from RefSeq and is a predicted model, not a curated record. NCBI's taxonomy places the organism in Eukaryota, Metazoa, Chordata, Actinopteri, Cypriniformes, Cobitidae.